Molecule: ribosomal RNA, 253 nt
Filed under: uncultured bacterium
Lineage: Bacteria
Description: partial 16S ribosomal RNA
Rfam family: Bacterial small subunit ribosomal RNA
Source: RNAcentral
UACGUAGGGUGCGAGCGUUAAUCGGAAUUACUGGGCGUAAAGCGUGCGCAGGCGGUUUUGUAAGCCAGAUGUGAAAGCCCGGGGCUUAACCUGGGAAUGGCAUUUGGGACUGCAAGGCUUGAGUGCGGCAGAGGAGACUGGAAUUCCUGGUGUAGCAGUGAAAUGCGUAGAUAUCAGGAGGAAUACCGAUGGCGAAGGCAGGUCUCUGGGCUGACACUGACGCUCAUGCACGAAAGCGUGGGGAGCAAACAGG